This 30-nucleotide non-coding RNA is filed under the name Mus musculus (house mouse). Lineage: Eukaryota; Metazoa; Chordata; Mammalia; Rodentia; Muridae. The record is from RNAcentral.
UCCAGAAAUUCAAGGCCCUAGAGCAGAUUU